GGCUCCGCUGAACGGUCUGCCCUCCCGGGUAUGCACUGUUCUGGCGGGGUUCUCCCUUCUGGCGAGGCGGCAUGCUCUUCACCGGGUGUGUCGCGGAGCCAGGACUUUUACUUUGAAAAAAUUAGAGUGUUUAAAGCAGGCUAACGCCUGGAUACAUUAGCAUGGAAUAAUGAAAUAGGACGAGCGAUCCUAUUUUGUUGGUUUCUAGGAUUGACGUA
RNAcentral lists this ribosomal RNA (218 nucleotides) under uncultured fungus. Its description in RNAcentral is "partial small subunit ribosomal RNA". The stretch from base 95 to 218 matches the Rfam family "Eukaryotic small subunit ribosomal RNA", at positions 739 to 864 of the family's 1831-position model. The record is from RNAcentral. Lineage: Eukaryota; Fungi.